CAGCGAUAGAAGGUAGACAGAGAACUGCUUGCGUACUUCCUCAGACGUAUCUGCAUAAAUAAAAAAAUUGUGAAAAUGAAAGUAAUCGUACGCCUGGUGUUGUUGGCGUACUUGGCCAUGUCAGUAGAAGGAAACAGAUGGAGUACAAGAAGAACGAACUGUGGGGUUUCCGUCUGGUCAGAAUGGUCAGCCUGGUCAGCGCCUGCGCCCGGAGGCACACGAACCCGCACACGAGAGAUUGUCCGGUCUCCUCGAAAUGGUGGAAGCCCAUGUCCGACACUAACAGAAACGGCCUCUAGAGCAGAUCCAUGGUCCAGACAGGGAGUCCAGCAGAAGUUCCACAAUAAGUUUAUGACUGGCCAUACUCACUACUACAGUUUCAUCCCCGAUAGCUCUCGUGCUGUUGGACU
Liolophura sinensis is the source of this 410-nucleotide long non-coding RNA. RefSeq lists it as uncharacterized. The transcript is spliced from 3 exons. The record is from RefSeq and is a predicted model, not a curated record. Lineage: Eukaryota; Metazoa; Mollusca; Polyplacophora; Chitonida; Chitonidae.